GACGAACGCUUGCAGCGUGCUUAACACAUGCAAGUCGAACGGAAAGGCCCUGCUUUUGUGGGGUGCUCGAGUGGCGAACGGGUGAGUAACACGUGAGUAACCUGCCCUUGACUUUGGGAUAACUUCAGGAAACUGGGGCUAAUACCGGAUAGGAGCUCCUGCUGCAUGGUGGGGGUUGGAAAGUUUCGGCGGUUGGGGAUGGACUCGCGGCUUAUCAGCUUGUUGGUGGGGUAGUGGCUUACCAAGGCUUUGACGGGUAGCCGGCCUGAGAGGGUGACCGGCCACAUUGGGACUGAGAUACGGCCCAGACUCCUACGGGAGGCAGCAGUGGGGAAUAUUGCACAAUGGGCGGAAGCCUGAUGCAGCAACGCCGCGUGCGGGAUGACGGCCUUCGGGUUGUAAACCGCUUUCGCCUGUGACGAAGCGUGAGUGACGGUAAUGGGUAAAGAAGCACCGGCUAACUACGUGCCAGCAGCCGCGGUGAUACGUAGGGUGCGAGCGUUGUCCGGAUUUAUUGGGCGUAAAGGGCUCGUAGGUGGUUGAUCGCGUCGGAAGUGUAAUCUUGGGGCUUAACCCUGAGCGUGCUUUCGAUACGGGUUGACUUGAGGAAGGUAGGGGAGAAUGGAAUUCCUGGUGGAGCGGUGGAAUGCGCAGAUAUCAGGAGGAACACCAGUGGCGAAGGCGGUUCUCUGGGCCUUUCCUGACGCUGAGGAGCGAAAGCGUGGGGAGCGAACAGGCUUAGAUACCCUGGUAGUCCACGCUGUAAACGGUGGGUACUAGGUGUGGGGUCCAUUCCACGGGUUCCGUGCCGUAGCUAACGCUUUAAGUACCCCGCCUGGGGAGUACGGCCGCAAGGCUAAAACUCAAAGGAAUUGACGGGGCCCCGCACAAGCGGCGGAGCAUGCGGAUUAAUUCGAUGCAACGCGUAGAACCUUACCUGGGUUUGACAUGGAUCGGGAGUGCUCAGAGAUGGGUGUGCCUCUUUUGGGGUCGGUUCACAGGUGGUGCAUGCCUGUCGUCAGCUCGUGUCGUGAGAUGUUGGGUUAAGUCCCGCAACGAGCGCAACCCUUGUUCACUGUUGCCAGCACGUUAUGGUGGGGACUCAGUGGAGACCGCCGGGGUCAACUCGGAGGAAGGUGGGGAUGACGUCAAGUCCUCAUGCCCCUUAUGUCCAGGGCUUCACGCAUGCUACAAUGGCUGGUACAGAGAGUGGCGAGCCUGUGAGGGUGAGCGAAUCUCGGAAAGCCGGUCUCAGUUCGGAUUGGGGUCUGCAACUCGACCUCAUGAAGUCGGAGUCGCUAGUAAUCGCAGAUCAGCAACGCUGCGGUGAAUACGUUCCCGGG
RNAcentral lists this ribosomal RNA (1343 nucleotides) under uncultured bacterium. RNAcentral describes it as "16S ribosomal RNA". It matches the Rfam family "Bacterial small subunit ribosomal RNA", at positions 28 to 1378 of the family's 1533-position model. The record is from RNAcentral.